Molecule: long non-coding RNA, 869 nt
Organism: Carya illinoinensis
Lineage: Eukaryota; Viridiplantae; Streptophyta; Magnoliopsida; Fagales; Juglandaceae
Exons: 2
Source: RefSeq, a predicted model, not a curated record
CGGUACGGCCUGUCACCGUAUUCAAAUUUCUGAUUGAAACUCAUUGAAACGGAGCUCAGCAUCAUCUGGAUCUUCGUCUUCCCACUCGUCUGGGUUUUUGGUUGCGUGUUCAUGUUAGUCUUCGUCUUCCUGCUCAUCUGAUCUGGCGAAUUGCUACCCACCUUGCUUCUGAGUCGUCCGAUUCAUCUGGGACCGUGGGUCUCCAUUUUUGUGGAGCAAGGCUUGUUUCGAUGUGGAGGAGAUGAAGGUCAUCUGGGCCGGUUCUCGCCACACCUUGGAGCUCUCCGAUUGUAUUUCUCGACUCGUCGCCAGCGAUCCGGUCAUUUUUUCUACUUCUAGUGUUUUUUUCUUUUUUCGCCCAAUUUGGCUCUGUAUCGCUAGAUGUUUUCGAGAUGUUCUCUUAGAGCUAUAGAGUUUAUUCCAAUAGAUAACUCUUCUUCACAAUGAGAAACCAUCGAGCAUGGACCACAAUCAGAUGGAACAGCAAAACCAUUUUUAAUGGGUUUUACAGAUUCAACAGUUGUUAAGCAUCCAACUUGUUCGUUUGACCAAAGAAAUGCAGAGCUGAAACACAGAGACAAACACACAGGAAGGAGGGAGAAUCGAAGAUUUGGGGAAAUGAGGUUGAAUAGAUGAAACGAUGCGUUUUUAUUUUUCAACAUCAGACGGCGUUUGUCCUGUGCUUGCACCAGGCGAUUGCAUACAACUUUUUUCUUUUAUAUAUAUAAAACUUUACUUGGGAGAGCUAGAAUAUGAAUUGUAUAAAGUGACUGACCUGGCAAGGCGAGUAUAAAACAAUUGUUUUGACAAAAUGUCGCAUUUCUCAAUGGAUGGUGACUCUUGAAUGUACUGUUUGUUUUGCCCCAAUA